GAUGAACGCUGGCGGCGUGCCUAAUACAUGCAAGUCGAGCGAACGGACGAGAAGCUUGCUUCUCUGAUGUUAGCGGCGGACGGGUGAGUAACACGUGGAUAACCUACCUAUAAGACUGGGAUAACUUCGGGAAACCGGAGCUAAUACCGGAUGAUAUUUUGAACCGCAUGGUUCAAAAGUGAAAGACGGUCUUGCUGUCACUUAUAGAUGGAUCCGCGCUGCAUUAGCUAGUUGGUAAGGUAACGGCUUACCAAGGCAACGAUGCAUAGCCGACCUGAGAGGGUGAUCGGCCACACUGGAACUGAGACACGGUCCAGACUCCUACGGGAGGCAGCAGUAGGGAAUCUUCCGCAAUGGGCGAAAGCCUGACGGAGCAACGCCGCGUGAGUGAUGAAGGUCUUCGGAUCGUAAAACUCUGUUAUUAGGGAAGAACAUAUGUGUAAGUAACUGUGCACAUCUUGACGGUACCUAAUCAGAAAGCCACGGCUAACUACGUGCCAGCAGCCGCGGUAAUACGUAGGUGGCAAGCGUUAUCCGGAAUUAUUGGGCGUAAAGCGCGCGUAGGCGGUUUUUUAAGUCUGAUGUGAAAGCCCACGGCUCAACCGUGGAGGGUCAUUGGAAACUGGAAAACUUGAGUGCAGAAGAGGAAAGUGGAAUUCCAUGUGUAGCGGUGAAAUGCGCAGAGAUAUGGAGGAACACCAGUGGCGAAGGCGACUUUCUGGUCUGUAACUGACGCUGAUGUGCGAAAGCGUGGGGAUCAAACAGGAUUAGAUACCCUGGUAGUCCACGCCGUAAACGAUGAGUGCUAAGUGUUAGGGGGUUUCCGCCCCUUAGUGCUGCAGCUAACGCAUUAAGCACUCCGCCUGGGGAGUACGACCGCAAGGUUGAAACUCAAAGGAAUUGACGGGGACCCGCACAAGCGGUGGAGCAUGUGGUUUAAUUCGAAGCAACGCGAAGAACCUUACCAAAUCUUGACAUCCUUUGACAACUCUAGAGAUAGAGCCUUCCCCUUCGGGGGACAGAGUGACAGGUGGUGCAUGGUUGUCGUCAGCUCGUGUCGUGAGAUGUUGGGUUAAGUCCCGCAACGAGCGCAACCCUUAAGCUUAGUUGCCAUCAUUAAGUUGGGCACUCUAAGUUGACUGCCGGUGACAAACCGGAGGAAGGUGGGGAUGACGUCAAAUCAUCAUGCCCCUUAUGAUUUGGGCUACACACGUGCUACAAUGGACAAUACAAAGGGCAGCGAAACCGCGAGGUCAAGCAAAUCCCAUAAAGUUGUUCUCAGUUCGGAUUGUAGCCUGCAACUCGACUACAUGAAGCUGGAAUCGCUAGUAAUCGUAGAUCAGCAUGCUACGGUGAAUACGUUCCCGGGUCU
RNAcentral lists this ribosomal RNA (1372 nucleotides) under uncultured bacterium. Its description in RNAcentral is "bacterial SSU rRNA". It matches the Rfam family "Bacterial small subunit ribosomal RNA", at positions 28 to 1381 of the family's 1533-position model. The record is from RNAcentral.